Molecule: ribosomal RNA, 253 nt
Filed under: uncultured bacterium
Lineage: Bacteria
Description: partial 16S ribosomal RNA
Rfam family: Bacterial small subunit ribosomal RNA
Source: RNAcentral
GACGUAGGGCGCGAGCGUUGUCCGGAUUUAUUGGGCGUAAAGAGCUCGUAGGCGGCUUGUCGCGUCGUUCGUGAAAACCCGGGGCUCAACUCCGGGCUUGCGGGCGAUACGGGCAGGCUAGAGUUCGGUAGGGGAGACUGGAAUUCCCGGUGUAGCGGUGAAAUGCGCAGAUAUCAGGAGGAACACCGGUGGCGAAGGCGGGUCUCUGGGCCGAUACUGACGCUGAGGAGCGAAAGCGUGGGGAGCGAACAGG